GGUGGGAAUCAAGGGAAACGGCGUUGGAUCUGGGCAUCGGCGACCGGCUGUGUGAGGUAACGCCCAUUGUUUCCUUCCGAUUUUUCCCUUGUUUUGUUCGUCGGCAAGAACAAGUCGAGCCCUAACUUCGAUCUCGGAGAGAUUGGUGUCUUGUUUCUGGCCACCACAGCUGGACUAGAUCAACUCCUCCACCGGAUCUGUGAUCGUACUCUAGCCAAGAUCCUGAGAGAAGCAGAGCUUGUGUUGUGAUUCCGGCCACUACAGCUCUGGUGGGGAUUGCUCUUCUUCCUCAGAUCUGUGGUUUGCUCCGGCGAUCAAGAAGAGAUGCAGCAUGUAGUCUUCUGUGGUAGGGAAAUG
Long non-coding RNA from Zingiber officinale, 357 nucleotides. RefSeq lists it as uncharacterized. NCBI's taxonomy places the organism in Eukaryota, Viridiplantae, Streptophyta, Magnoliopsida, Zingiberales, Zingiberaceae. The record is from RefSeq and is a predicted model, not a curated record. The transcript has 3 exons.